CGGCGGACGGGUGAGUAACGCGUGGGUAACCUGCCUCAUACAGGGGGAUAACAGUUAGAAAUGACUGCUAAUACCGCAUAAGCGCACAGCUUCGCAUGAAGCGGUGUGAAAAACUCCGGUGGUGUAAGAUGGACCCGCGUCUGAUUAGCUUGUUGGCGGGGUAACGGCCCACCAAGGCGACGAUCAGUAGCCGGCCUGAGAGGGCGGACGGCCACAUUGGGACUGAGACACGGCCCAGACUCCUACGGAAGGCAGCAG
Molecule: ribosomal RNA, 258 nt
Filed under: uncultured bacterium
Lineage: Bacteria
Description: partial 16S ribosomal RNA
Rfam family: Bacterial small subunit ribosomal RNA
Source: RNAcentral